GAAAGCCCAGUUCGUUCUGAAUCAGAAUUCGUAACGUGGCUAACUAUAAGCGCAACGUGAUGAAGGAAAGAAUCCUGAGAUCUCUACACCGUUCAUCAACAACUUCAGAAUUCAGAGGAGUUACCUUUCUCUGAUCAGGAUCUGCUUUGAAUCGACAUGGGUUUCUUGAUAACGACGCUAAUAUUCGCAGUUAUUGGGGAUAAUCGCGUGUCUCUGCACCCGAAUUUGCUGUAACAGAGGACCUUCUGCUAAUCUAUUUCACCUGACUUUGGUUAUUACUGCAACAAUAUGCUGCUGGAUGAUGUGGGCAAUUGUUUAUAUGGCCCAAAUGAAACCGCUCAUAGUACCGAUAUUGAAUGAGGGUGAAUAAAUCUCAACUUGAACAGAUUAGUCUCCUUGUAAGUUAGAGAAUGUGGAUCACAGUUUGGCUGCUGGAGAGAAUUUGAUUUCGAUUUCGGCCCUCAUGAAUCAUUCAGUAUUUUCUAAAGGUGGAUUUGUAUGUAUUAAUUGUUGGAUAAUGGUAUUCCAUUUGGCAUUUCUAUAUUGCUGCCUGAUGUUUGUAUUACAAUGUUUGUAUUUAACAGUCAUUCAUUUCAGAUGUCGGUAGACAAUGAUAAUGGGUAUGUAUUUUGGUGACAAAUAAGUUCAUUAAAGAAAUGUUUUUCUCUAAGAAAAGGGUGAUAGAAAGAGGUCAAUUCGUGGUCCUUGUUUACAAUUCUAUGGUAUUGAACUAGGCUCUGUUUAUAAUGUGACCUAUAGGUUGUUACAUUUACACUUUUAGUCUUCGGUGCUGGUAGUUAGCACUUAUUACCUUGUAUCAUGGACCACACCUAAU
Lupinus albus (white lupine) is the source of this 835-nucleotide non-coding RNA. The record is from the annotation of a GenBank genome assembly. Lineage: Eukaryota; Viridiplantae; Streptophyta; Magnoliopsida; Fabales; Fabaceae.